CUGGUUGAUCCUGCCAGUAGUCAUAUGCUUGUCUCAAAGAUUAAGCCAUGCAUGUCUAAGUAUAAGCAAUUAUACCGUGAAACUGCGAAUGGCUCAUUAAAUCAGUUAUCGUUUAUUUGAUAGUACCUUACUACUUGGAUAACCGUGGUAAUUCUAGAGCUAAUACAUGCUGAAAACCCCAACUUCGGGAGGGGUGUAUUUAUUAGAUAAAAAACCAAUGCCCUUCGGGGCUUUUUGGUGAUUCAUGAUAACUUUACGGAUCGCAUAGCCUUGCGCUGGCGACGGUUCAUUCAAAUUUCUGCCCUAUCAACUUUCGAUGGUAAGGUAUUGGCUUACCAUGGUUUCAACGGGUAACGGGGAAUUAGGGUUCGAUUCCGGAGAGGGAGCCUGAGAAACGGCUACCACAUCCAAGGAAGGCAGCAGGCGCGCAAAUUACCCAAUCCCGACACGGGGAGGUAGUGACAAUAAAUAACAAUAUAGGGCUCUUUCGGGUCUUAUAAUUGGAAUGAGUACAAUUUAAAUCUCUCAACGAGGAACAAUUGGAGGGCAAGUCUGGUCGGGA
Molecule: ribosomal RNA, 562 nt
Filed under: uncultured Pleosporales
Lineage: Eukaryota; Fungi; Ascomycota; Dothideomycetes; Pleosporales
Description: SSU rRNA
Rfam family: Eukaryotic small subunit ribosomal RNA
Source: RNAcentral